This 284-nucleotide transfer RNA is filed under the name Salinibacter ruber M8. RNAcentral's name for it is "tRNA-Und (NNN) (tRNA-Und-NNN-2-1)". Lineage: Bacteria; Pseudomonadati; Rhodothermota; Rhodothermia; Rhodothermales; Salinibacteraceae. The record is from RNAcentral.
GCGCCCGUAGCUCAGUUGGAUAGAGCAGCGGACUUCAACAGGAGCGUCCACGUGGCGACGCGUGGACUGCACGGUGCCGUAACGGGGAAUCCUGUGAAAUGGCAACCCCGUGGAAACUCAAGAGGACGACCUUGAGGCUCCGUAGAGACUGUACGCAUCGCGCCCCGGGCGUUUUCGGGACGAAGAGACAGUCCAGGCCACAAAUCCCGAGCGUCAUCGGGAGCAGCGAAAGCUGCAGUGGUAUGCUAAUCCGCAGGCCGCAGGUUCGAAUCCUGCCGGGCGUA